GCUGGGUGUGGUGGCGCACACCUGUAAUUCCAGCUACUUGGGAGGCUGAGGCAGGAGAAUCGCUUGAACCCAGGAGGCCGAGAUUGUAGUGAGCCGAGAUGGCGCCACUGCACUCUAGCCUGGAGGACAGAGUGAGACUCCAUCUCAA
Molecule: non-coding RNA, 148 nt
Filed under: Homo sapiens (human)
Lineage: Eukaryota; Metazoa; Chordata; Mammalia; Primates; Hominidae
Source: Rfam by way of RNAcentral